Molecule: ribosomal RNA, 404 nt
Filed under: Verrucomicrobiota bacterium
Lineage: Bacteria; Pseudomonadati; Verrucomicrobiota
Description: Verrucomicrobia bacterium partial 16S ribosomal RNA
Rfam family: Bacterial small subunit ribosomal RNA
Source: RNAcentral
UGGGGAAUAUUGGACAAUGGGCGCAAGCCUGAUCCAGCCAUGCCGCGUGAGUGAUGAAGGCCCUAGGGUUGUAAAGCUCUUUCACCGGUGAAGAUAAUGACGGUAACCGGAGAAGAAGCUCCGGCUAACUUCGUGCCAGCAGCCGCGGUAAUACGAAGGGGGCUAGCGUUGUUCGGAUUUACUGGGCGUAAAGCGCACGUAGGCGGACUAUUAAGUCAGGGGUGAAAUCCAGGGGCUCAACCCCGGAACUGCCUUUGAUACUGGUAGUCUUGAGUUCGAGAGAGGUGAGUGGAAUUCCGAGUGUAGAGGUGAAAUUCGUAGAUAUUCGGAGGAACACCAGUGGCGAAGGCGGCUCACUGGCUCGAUACUGACGCUGAGGUGCGAAAGCGUGGGGAGCAAACAGG